Small nuclear RNA from Gorilla gorilla gorilla (western lowland gorilla), 192 nucleotides. Its record names the gene U2. It matches the Rfam family "U2 spliceosomal RNA". Rfam says of the family: U2 is a small nuclear RNA (snRNA) component of the spliceosome (involved in pre-mRNA splicing). NCBI's taxonomy places the organism in Eukaryota, Metazoa, Chordata, Mammalia, Primates, Hominidae. The record is from Ensembl.
AUCGCUUCUCGUCCUUUUGGCUAAGAUCAAGUGUAGUAUCUGUUCUUAUCAGUUUAAUAUCUGAUACUUCCUCUAUCCGAGGACAAUUAUUUUAGAUGGAUUUUUGGAGCAGGGAGAUGAAAUAGGAGCUUGCUCUGUCCACUCCACGCAUGGACCUGGUAUUGCAGUACCUCCAGGAAUGGGGCUCCCUCU